Molecule: RNA transcript, 2978 nt
Organism: Hylaeus anthracinus
Lineage: Eukaryota; Metazoa; Arthropoda; Insecta; Hymenoptera; Colletidae
Gene name: L-asparaginase 1
Exons: 10
Source: RefSeq, a predicted model, not a curated record
AUAUCCAUAAUUCCAGGAAAAUGCGCGACAAGUUGCAUCAGAACCUUUAUACUAGAUAAUUCCUCGCAUUUACAUAAUACUUGCUAAUCUCUCUGACACAACAGCUUAGAGUUGUAACGGAGUUCAGAGAAAUCCAAUCCCUCGUGUGUUUUAAACAUUCGAGCUUCCAGGGAUUGUAAAAUUCCUCAACAUCAUCGAGUCUAUUAUAGUUUCAAAUAAUUCUAUUAUAGUUCUCGCGUGACUCAACACUUCGACGUUCCCGAUUUAUUUGAAGAGCGACGCGUUACCUACCAAGGAUAGGUCUAUCACAGAACACCUGGAGAUAAUACUCAGCCGUGGACACGUGGCGAGGCAGCAUGUCCUUAUCACCUGUAAGAACCAUAAACAAGGAGAAUCACGUCUUCAACAAUGAAGGAGGAGGCAUGGAACUGACGAAGAACCAUAGUUCCGGUCAUCUGGCCAGCGAGAGCGGCAAGGAUGGCCGAGUGUUGGUCCUGUACACUGGCGGGACUAUUGGAAUGAUUAGGAAUGAACAUGGAGUUCUUGUGCCCAAGGCGAACGCGUUCGUGAAGAACCUGCGGAACUAUCCUCACAUGCACGACCGCGAGUACGCUGAGAAGCGGUUUGGAAGCAUGGGACCCCUGGUGCUUCCGAUGACCGCCACGGACAGCCGACGAGUCGUUUACAGCGUGUUGGAGUACUCACUGCUGUGCGACUCUAGUAAUAUGACCAUGGACGACUGGAUCCGUAUCGCUAAUGAUAUUAAGCAAUCUUAUGAACACUUCGACGGAUUCGUCGUGCUCCACGGAACGGAUACGCUCAGCUACACAGCGUCCGCUCUGUCGUUCAUGCUCGAGAAUCUGGGCAAGAUAGUGAUAUUAACCGGCUCUCAGGUGCCGAUUUUCGACACCAGGAGCGAUGGUUUGGACAACUUCCUUUCUUCCCUGGUGAUAGCCGCGAAUUACAACAUACCAGAAGUGUGCGUGUUCUUUGGAACGAACUUGUUGAGAGGCAACAGGACUAGCAAAGUCUCUGCUACGUCUUUCGAGGCGUUCGACUCCCCUAACUUUCCACCGCUGGCGAAAGCUAACAUUAAGAUCGAAGUGGAUUAUCGAGCAAUUUUUCGCUCUUGUACAUUGGAGAAGUUCCACGUGCACGCAGUCCUGAACAGGAAUGUUGGGCUGCUCCGCAUUUUCCCAAGCAUAACCACGGAUCUGGUGAAGGCGUUUUUGCAACCUACUAUCGAAGGUGUCGUGUUGCAAUCUUACGGGGCAGGAAACAUACCUACGAAUAGGGAGGAUAUAAUGGAAGAACUACGGAAGGCUGCGAAACGCGGGGUGAUCAUAAUUAACAUAACGCAGUGCUCGACGGGCUGCGUCUCGGGAAUGUACGAACCUGGGAAGCAGCUCGAAGAUGCUGGUGUGAUAUCUGGUUGUGAUAUGACGCCAGAGGCUGCCCUCACCAAACUGUCGUACGUGUUAUCAAAAAAGGAAUGGGACACUGAAAUGAAACGGCAAAUGAUGCAGACGAAUCUCUGCGGAGAGUUAACUGCGGGACGACCACCUCAGCUCCAAGAUCUAGACCUGGUGGAGGCGGUUGCUAGGUCCCUGAGGAUCUCCUCGACUGCAGAGUUUCAGGAAUUGGGCACCAUUCUCUUUCCUGCUAUGUUGAACGCCGCUGUCCUAGCGCGCGACGUCGUAAAACUCGAAUCUUUAAAAGGAUAUGGAGCAGACAUUUCUCAAAGAAAUGCUGAUGGUCGCACUGCGUUACACAUUGCCUGCUGUGAAGGAGAUUUGAACGUCGUGCAGUGUCUUCUGAGAAUGGGUGCGAAUGUCCAUAUCAAAGAUAGAUUUGAUCGUACUGUGCUCACUGAUGCCAUAGAAUAUGAUCAUCACGAGAUUAUCAAAGUAUUACUUCAAUGUGGAGCUCACCUGCAUGGAAGCGCAUAUCUGAUAGGCGAGAAAAUUUGCGCUGCAGCGGCUGUAGGAAAUGUGAAACGACUGACAUCGUUUUAUUUGGCAAACGCUGACCUCUCGCAGAAGGACUUCUCUGGAAGGACACCGUUGCACUUUGCUGCAUUGCAUAAUAACGUGCAAGCUCUUAAGUUCCUGUUGGAUUAUGGCGUAGAGACGACUUGCUAUGACAAGAUGGGUUUGACGCCGUACGACCUCGCCAAAGCGGCUGGUUCCACACAAGCGGAGUUGAUGCUUUCGCUUCCAGACCCACCGAACCCUGCACCGAGUGUCGCGGUCAAAAUUACUAGAUGAAAGUACAAAUGUGAAAGUAUGAUGUGAAAAAUUAUGAACUAUCAAAGUAUGACUGCAAUGUUGUCUAUGGUAUAUAAAUUAUCUUUUUAUCGAUUGACAAUCGAUUAAUCCUUAUUUAUUUUCUAAUUUAUAUACUUACUAUACAUGCACCAGCCUUGAAUUAAUCCCUCUUGAUGACAAAUUUUUUCUAGAUCAUGGUGUCGUUGAAAAGUGAAAGUCUGUACAACUAUAAUUAUAUCUGAAUCAUGCGACGGCGUUCCACGUCACGCUUACGCUACUAUAAUAAUGUAUUUCCUAGAGCAACAUUAACUAUAAACUCUUCUAUGAUAUGGCUUAUCGAUAAAUUUAAAGACUAUUUUACUUUAUUCAUACAUAACAAUACAAAAAUAUAACGAGGAUACUCGAAUAUUAAAAUUUUGCUCCAAAUAGCAUGUUGUGUAAGAGUUUUGGUGUGUAUUAUUCAGAUAGAUUCACUCACACGAUUCCCAAUUCGCUCAUCAUGGUCUUGAGAAGUUUGGGAGUAAUCAGACAAUCUUUAUAAACAUGAGCGCAAUCGCGGUUUCCUUUUCGUCCCACGUUCACAGCGUUUUGGAUGAUGGUGCCAUUUGUUACGUCCUUGAACCACUCAUGACUGUAAUACGAAAUAAACAAAACAUCAAACAUCAGAACAUGUAUUAGAAACUCCAUCUGGUUAAAAUAAAAGUAAUUUUA